RNAcentral lists this ribosomal RNA (524 nucleotides) under uncultured bacterium. RNAcentral describes it as "partial 16S ribosomal RNA". It matches the Rfam family "Bacterial small subunit ribosomal RNA", at positions 28 to 523 of the family's 1533-position model. The record is from RNAcentral.
GACGAACGCUGGCGGCGUGCCUAAUACAUGCAAGUCGAGCGCAGGAAACUGACGGAACUCUUCGGAGGGAAGGCAGUGGAAUGAGCGGCGGACGGGUGAGUAACACGUAAGGAACCUGCCUCAAGGAUUGGGAUAACUCCGAGAAAUCGGAGCUAAUACUGGAUAGUUCAUCGGACCGCAUGGUCCGCUGAUGAAAGGCGCUCCGGCGUCACCUUGAGAUGGCCUUGCGGUGCAUUAGCUAGUUGGUGGGGUAACGGCCCACCAAGGCGACGGUGCAUAGCCGACCUGAGAGGGUGAUCGGCCACACUGGGACUGAGACACUGCCCAGAAUCCUACGGGAGGCAGCAGUAGUGAAGCUUCCACAAUGGGCGAAAGUCUGAUGGUGCAACGCCGCGUGAGUGAUGAAGGUUCUCGGAUCGUAAAACUCUGUUGUAAGGGAAGAACACGUACGAGAGUGAAUGCUCGUACCUUGACGGUACCUUACGAGAAAGCCACGGCUAACUACGUGCCAGCCGCCGCAGUAA